CCUACGGGGGACAGCAGUGGGGAAUAUUGCGCAAUGGGCGCAAGCCUGACGCAGCGACGCCGCGUGAGGGAUGAAGGUCUUCGGAUCGGAAAACUCUGUCAGCAGGGAAAAAAGGUCACUGUGCUAAUCAGCAGUGAAUUGACGGUACCUGCAAAGGAAGCACCGGCUAACUCCGUGCCAGCAGCCGCGGUAAUACGGAGGGUGCGAGCGUUAAUCGGCAUUACUGGGCGUAAAGCGCUCGUAGGCGGUAUGUCAAGUCAAGGGUGAAAUCCCCGCGCUCAACGUGGGAACUGCCUUUGAAACUGGCAAACUGGAGUGUGUGAGAGGAUAGUGGAAUUCCAGGUGUAGGAGUGAAAUCCGUAGAUAUUAGGAAGAACACCAGUGGCGAAGGCGGCUUUCUGGACUGAAACUGACGCUGAGGCACGAAAGCGUGGGGAGCGAACAGGAUUAGAUACCCUAGUAGUC
RNAcentral lists this ribosomal RNA (465 nucleotides) under uncultured bacterium. RNAcentral's name for it is "partial 16S ribosomal RNA". It matches the Rfam family "Bacterial small subunit ribosomal RNA", at positions 338 to 795 of the family's 1533-position model. The record is from RNAcentral.